AAUUUGGAAGUUUACAUGUGUUACAUGUUGCUAUUGUUAUUUUAGCAGGAUGACUUGUUUUAAGGGAAAAAGGAGACUUUUUCCUUGAUGUUCUAGUUCUCGCUGCAGCGAGAAUGAAGUUCGCUACAGCAAGAAACUUUCUGUCCAUUUGGCUAACUUGUGGGUUUUUACCAUAUUUCCCAUUUCUUUUGUACCAUAGUUGAGCAUGGAUUUUUGUAAAGUGAUUUACUCAUGUGGGGUUUACAUGAGGGGUUUAAAGGAGCUAAAACAAUUGCAUGGUUUUGAGAAAACGAAUGCAUCAUGAUUUCGAUAAACAUUCC
Molecule: long non-coding RNA, 320 nt
Filed under: Theobroma cacao (cacao)
Lineage: Eukaryota; Viridiplantae; Streptophyta; Magnoliopsida; Malvales; Malvaceae
Description: long non-coding RNA (TCAC_LNC002624)
Source: RNAcentral